UGCCCAACAACAAUGAUAACUUGAUAAGGCAAUCCCUCUAUGCCUGGGAGGUGCUGGCAUUAUCCACCCAACACGUCGAUGAGCCUUCGGGGUUUUGACCUCCCUCAUUUCUCUUCGUUCUUUUCCUCCCAACCUAUUAUUUCCAAUUGCUUUCCCUCCAGUCAUCCUUCCAACACUCCUCUCAAAUUGACGCCAGCCUCCUCAAAAUUAGCUGUGCAGACCCUCGAUAACAUUUUUCCUAAACCCACAUCAGUAAGACCAGGGAGACGAACAUUGACUGUAAAGAUUCUUGAUAAAUAAAACUGCAUGUUAAGCGUAAAGAGAGAAUGGAGGGAGUAUGCUAGCAUGAUACUACUCAUUCGCAUGCCUGCAUACUUCAAGUGGUCAGAGUCGGUAUUGCUUCAAACCAAAAGUGCACCAUUGGACCUACUACUUAGCAUCUCCUUCAGGUAGCCACAUCAUGCAAUUGCAAUUUCAGGCUGCAGCAAUCUAAAAAUAUAUUCGCGCAGAGAGAGACGCAUGCAAGGUACGGUGGAUUAUACUGGAUCGAUCGAUGAAGCAUAUAUGUCUGCAUGAGGGAAUACGGUGCUGCGCGCAGUGAUUUAUUCUAAUUCUUGUCCAUGUUGUCACAAUUAUUGUUGUAUUUUUUACCACUGCUAGCUCUGCGUGCAUCACUGGUCACUCAUCGAUCUCUUUUGAAACAAUGGAACAAAAUAUGGGUGCAGGGAAUUGGUGUCAUAAUUAAAUUGGUUUGGAGAGUGACUUGGGAUGAUGUGAUCUAUACCUUUGGAUUAAUGCCUUGAGUGUAUAGGUUUUGAUAAUUGUUUUCUCCUUCUUCUGCUAUUUUUUAAGGGG
Molecule: long non-coding RNA, 855 nt
Filed under: Brachypodium distachyon (stiff brome)
Lineage: Eukaryota; Viridiplantae; Streptophyta; Magnoliopsida; Poales; Poaceae
Description: long non-coding RNA (BDIS_LNC002726)
Source: RNAcentral